This 303-nucleotide ribosomal RNA is filed under the name uncultured bacterium. RNAcentral describes it as "partial 16S ribosomal RNA". It matches the Rfam family "Bacterial small subunit ribosomal RNA", at positions 507 to 807 of the family's 1533-position model. The record is from RNAcentral.
AGCAGUAGCCGCGGUAAUACGUAGGUGACAAGCGUUGUCCGGAAUUAUUGGGCGUAAAGGGCUCGCAGGCGGUUUCUUAAGUCUGAUGUGAAAGCCCCCGGCUCAACCGGGGAGGGUCAUUGGAAACUGGGAAACUUGAGUGCAGAAGAGGAGAGUGGAAUUCCACGUGUAGCGGUGAAAUGCGUAGAGAUGUGGAGGAACACCAGUGGCGAAGGCGACUCUCUGGUCUGUAACUGACGCUCAUGCACGAAAGCGUGGGGAGCAAACAGGAUUAGAUACCCGCGUAGUCCCUGUCUCUUAUAC